AUUGAACGCUGGCGGCAGGCCUAACACAUGCAAGUCGAGCGAGCGGCGGACGGGUGAGUAAUGCCAGGGCAUUGCCCAGUAGAGGGGGAUAACAGUUGGAAACGACUGCUAAUACCGCAUACGAUUGGAGUGCUCAGGGGGGAUUAGCCAGUUGGUGAGGGAAUGGCUACCAAAGGCGACGAUCCCUCGCUGGUCUGAGAGGAUGAUCAGCCACACUGGAACUGAGACACGGUCCAGACUCCGACGGGAGGCAGCAGUGGGGAAUAUUGCACAAUGGGCGAAACCCUGAUGCAGCAAUGCCGCGUGUGUGAAGAAGGCCUUCGGUUUGUAAAGCACUUUCAGCGAGGAGGCGUUACUCGCCGAAGAAGCACCGGCUAACUCCGUGCCAGCAGCCGCGGUAAUAC
This 404-nucleotide ribosomal RNA is filed under the name uncultured bacterium. RNAcentral describes it as "partial 16S ribosomal RNA". It matches the Rfam family "Bacterial small subunit ribosomal RNA", at positions 30 to 526 of the family's 1533-position model. The record is from RNAcentral.